This 268-nucleotide long non-coding RNA is filed under the name Manihot esculenta (cassava). RNAcentral describes it as "long non-coding RNA (MESC_LNC001101)". The record is from RNAcentral. Lineage: Eukaryota; Viridiplantae; Streptophyta; Magnoliopsida; Malpighiales; Euphorbiaceae.
UCAUUGACAGCCAUUGUUGGUCAAAACCCCUCUGCAAAUUGAAAGGGAGCACUAAGCUAGAUAAUGCACCUGAUAUGGUAAAUAAAAUUCCUACAGUGAAACAGUUUUCUAACAUGUCCUUAAUCAUAGAAACAAAUCAAGUAUAGAAGAAGCACCAAAACCCUUGAAGUGAUAAGCUCCAUGUCAAUGUAAAAUAGCAGCAUAGAAGCAUUAGGCUAUAAUUUACAUAAUUUCACUCAAAUCUGUAACCCAAAACAUUUAAACAAUU